This 587-nucleotide ribosomal RNA is filed under the name uncultured bacterium. RNAcentral's name for it is "partial 16S ribosomal RNA". It matches the Rfam family "Bacterial small subunit ribosomal RNA", at positions 355 to 1375 of the family's 1533-position model. The record is from RNAcentral.
UGGGGAAUUUUGGACAAUGGGCGAAAGCCUGAUCCAGCAAUGCCGCGUGUGUGAAGAAGGCCUUCGGGUUGUAAAGCACUUUUGUCCGGAAAGAAAUCCUUGGCUCUAAUACAGUCGGGGGAUGACGGUACCGGAAGAAUAAGCACCGGCUAACUACGUGCCAGCAGCCGCGGUAAUACGUAGGGUGCAAGCGUUAAUCGGAAUUACUGGGCGUAAAGCGUGCGCAGGCGGUUUGCUAAGACCGAUGUGAAAUCCCCGGGCUCAACCUGGGAACUGCAUUGGUGACUGGCAGGCUAGAGUAUGGCAGAGGGGGGUAGAAUUCCACGUGUAGCAGUGAAAUGCGUAGAGAUGUGGAGGAAUACCGAUGGCGAAGGCAGCCCCCUGGGCAAAUACUGACGCUCAUGCACGAAAAGCGUGGGAAGCAAACAGGAUUAGAUACCCUGGUAGUCCACGCCCUAAAACGAUGUCAACUAGUUGUUGGGGAUUCAUUUCCUAGUAACGUAGCUAACGCGUGAAGUUGACCGCCUGGGGAGUACGGUCGCAAGAUUAAAAACUCAAAGGAAUUGACGGGGUCAUAGCUGUUUCCU